GCUCUUUCAUAUUUGGUUUUGUGCCUUGUGAGUGCUCAUGAGCUAAUGAGGACACAUCCUGAUUUGAGUCCUGACUUGAGAUGUUUUUCUGGUUAUUCAUUGAAUGAUUUAUCCCCUUUCAGUCUGAAUCACUUCCUCUUCGUGUCGCAGGGAUCCCAUGCUACCAGGAAUUGCUGGGUUAAGAUGAUCCUGGACUCUUAAAAAUUCUGGGAAACAUCCAUAGAAGCUUGGUUUUUUCCAUCUUCUGUCUUGGGCUCAUUCCAACUUCGCUACAAUCUACUUGCCCAUUUACCUUUGGAAGCUUCCAUGUUCUGGAUCAUGAAUGCUAUCAACAUCCACAGAGUUCGUGGGGGAGUCAUGUCAAUAAGAUACAUGUGUAUAGUGGCCACCUCCUCCCACAAGAACAGCCAAGCAAAGAACCAACUGUCACAUUCGGACAAAACAACUAAAGGACAGUACCCAUGAACAUCAGAGGACUGGAACCACCUUGGACUCUUACAGGCUGGUCAAUAAGGGAACCUCUGUAGCCCUCAUAGGCAGUUGGCCCAGCAGAGAAAGCUGCCUGGGAUCUAACAGAUCCACUGUCUCCAAAGGAGGAGUUGGUGGUGUGCCCUGCAUCCCAUGGACAGUGUGGUUACAAUUCGGUGGCACCUUGGAACCAGAGCCCUAUUCUGGAGAUAGGAAUGAUGGCAUACCUCCACCUCUGAGAAUUCAUCACUAUAGAAACAACCCCACCUGGUGGCCACCAUUCCUGCCACCAAACCACUACUUCACCAUAUUGCUUGUUGCUAAACUGCAUAGUCACUGCACUCCCAGCUGCUGUCACUCUUCGCCCGCCUUAGAUACAGUGGUGCCGAGCACCAAAAGUCUCCAACUGUAAAAUGGACUAACUCGAUUCUGUGUAAUUCUGCCGAAGUUCCUUCAUCUAGUUGAAUGCCCUACUGCUAAGCAACUAUGUAUGAAUUGUUAUGUAUUCUUCAUGAACUGACCCCCUUGUCAUUGUUCAAUUCUGUCUUCACACCUAACUUGCCUUACUCAGAACUUGCCUUGUCUGAAAUUAAUACAGAGGUGUAGAAGUUUGCUUAAAAAUUUUAUCUCCUCUAGAGAUACACAACUGACCACUGGGCAGAGCUCCUGAAAUCCAGUCCAAGAGAGGGAGGAGUGAUAACAGGAGCAAAGAGGUCAAGACCAUGUUGGGGAAAUCCACAGAAACAGCUGACCUGAGCUGGUGGGAGUUCAAUGACUCUGGACUGACAGCUGGGGAACCUGCAGAGGCUGACUUACUCUUGAAUACUGUGGUGGUUUAAAAGAAAAUGUCCCCCAAAGGAAGUGGCACUAAUGGGAGGUGUGGCCUUGUUGUAGUAGGUGUGGCCUUACUGGAGGAAGU
Molecule: non-coding RNA, 1387 nt
Organism: Cricetulus griseus (Chinese hamster)
Lineage: Eukaryota; Metazoa; Chordata; Mammalia; Rodentia; Cricetidae
Source: RefSeq, a predicted model, not a curated record